This 490-nucleotide ribosomal RNA is filed under the name uncultured bacterium. Its description in RNAcentral is "partial 16S ribosomal RNA". It matches the Rfam family "Bacterial small subunit ribosomal RNA", at positions 30 to 507 of the family's 1533-position model. The record is from RNAcentral.
AUUGAACGCUGGCGGCAGGCCUAACACAUGCAAGUCGAACGGUAACAGGAAGAAGCUUGCUUCUUUGCUGACGAGUGGCGGACGGGUGAGUAAUGUCUGGGAAACUGCCUGAUGGAGGGGGUUAACUACUGGAAACGGUAGCUAAUACCGCAUAACGUCGCAAGCCCAAAGAGGGGGACCUUCGGGCCUCUUGCCAUUGGCUGUGCCCAGAUGGGAUUAGCUAGUAGGUGGGGUAACGGCUCACCUAGGCGACGAUCCCUAGCUGGUCUGAGAGGAUGACCAGCCACACUGGAACUGAGACACGGUCCAGGCUCCUACGGGAGGCAGCAGUGGGGAAUAUUGCACAAUGGGCGCAAGCCUGAUGCAGCCAUGCCGCGUGUAUGAAGAAGGCCUUCGGGUUGUAAAGUACUUUCAGCGGGGAGGAAGGGAGUAAAGUUAAUACCUUUACUCAUUGACGUUACCCGCAGAAGAAGCACCGGCUAACUCCGUG